Molecule: unclassified non-coding RNA, 157 nt
Filed under: uncultured Hyaloscyphaceae
Lineage: Eukaryota; Fungi; Ascomycota; Leotiomycetes; Helotiales
Description: sequence contains ITS1
Source: RNAcentral
CAGAGUUCAUGCCCUCACGGGUAGAUCUCCCACCCUUGAAUAUACUACCUUUGUUGCUUUAGCGGGCCGCCUCGUCCACUGGCUUUGGUUAGUGAGUGCCCGCUAGAGGACCUUAAAUUCUGAUUUAUAGUGUUGUCUGAGUUCUAGAUAAUAGUUA